UACUGCCAGUCAAGAGUAUAUCAAGGUACACCCGAGAUCCCAAAAAAAUAACUUCCAAGUUGCAGAUUCACUAUACUGUUUUGAUUUGCUCUAGCAGAUUGCUACAAUCAUGUUACUAGAUCCCUUUGAAGAAGACGAUCAAUGCUACCAUCCACUGAAGAGAGUGGUGGCUGGGUCAGCCAUAUACGGGUGCCGUUGUUUUGGAGCUUGAGAGGCCAGAUCAAAGUCUACAUAAUUCAGUGGUUCUCAGUACAAUACAUGAGUGUGCAGGUUAGUUGGUUAGCGAAGUGAAGGAUUCAGGACGACCAUUGAUGUGUGCUCCAUCUUUGUGAACUAUUCUUUUGUCUCA
Long non-coding RNA from Triticum aestivum (bread wheat), 349 nucleotides. RefSeq lists it as uncharacterized. NCBI's taxonomy places the organism in Eukaryota, Viridiplantae, Streptophyta, Magnoliopsida, Poales, Poaceae. The transcript is spliced from 3 exons. The record is from RefSeq and is a predicted model, not a curated record.